This is a long non-coding RNA of Daphnia pulex (common water flea), 1327 nucleotides long. RefSeq lists it as uncharacterized. NCBI's taxonomy places the organism in Eukaryota, Metazoa, Arthropoda, Branchiopoda, Diplostraca, Daphniidae. The record is from RefSeq and is a predicted model, not a curated record. The transcript is spliced from 6 exons.
UACUUCCGGUAUACUUCCGGAAAAUUUGCAUAAAACUAGCAAGUGAGCUUUGUUCUCUGUAGAAUUCUAAAGACUCCAUGCUAAUUUUAAGCAAAGAGAAAUUGUCUUUUUGAUUACUUUUAUGACUUGUGACUAUCUAAGGCAAGUCCUUUAGAUAUUGAGUUUGGAAUGUGUCAAGUAGAUGGCGUGAAAGAAUGUUGUUUGUUGUGUCAGAUAUGGGCUUAUGACGUCAAAAGUUCAGCCACAUCUUCUUCGAAAAUUACUAAUGAAUUCGUUGGAGAAAAUGUGAAAGGUUCAUGAAGCCUGUACUGUCAACAAUUGUGAAUCCUGGUAUCCUAACUGAAUAUGUUAUCCAAAUGACAGAGUGGGAAAGCUGCUGGAGUAAUCCAUCCCCAAUUGAUUCAUUUCGUGUCAGCUUGUGAAAGGCGUGAGGAAUUCAAAUUUAGCUGCUGCGUGCUGUCUGCAAGCAAGCAAUCCAAUUGGCGAUCGCUAGGUGGCGCGAGUGUCUUCAGGGAUCCAAUUCGGCCAUUUUGUUCCUUGACGCAGCAGAAGUGGGAUGCCGGUCGUGACGUUUCCCCUAAUGAAAAUGUAAAGGUGAUUUAAAUACCACUUUGUCAAGCAAUCUAACUCGGAAGCCUGUCCAUUUUGCCGAAAUGUCGUGCCUCGUGUGUCUUGCUGCCAGCGUACGUCGCGUCCCUUGCAAAAGCAAAAUUUGAUGCCAACCAACUAUAACUUCCUUUGUAAAAUUUGAGAUAUCGGAGAGAUCUGUUGGGCUGCAUAGUUUUGUCCUACUCCUGGUCCGCUGUUGGUUACCUUGUUGCAGCCAGGUGGUGAAAGAUGUGAUGGAGACUAAUUUAACUGUUGUAUGCAGUGUGUGGUUCCAGUGUUAUCAAGAAGUAGCUGUGCUGGCGGUAUCCUGAACUAGCCUGAAGUUGCCAGUGAUAUCCGGGUCUCUGACUUUAAAUAUAUUUUCUGUUUGCAUUUGUGUAUUUCUCUCUGCCAAUGCUAUCCUGUGUUUGAAAUCUUUUCUCAUUCGUGUUUUUUGCUCUACCAGUGAUUUCCUGUGUUGCAGUCUUGAAAUAGUUUCAUUGUCGUCUUUGGCGUUUUUAUUGUGCAGUAUACGAUUGAGGCAACCUGAUCUAUGUCAGGUUUGACUCAGUCGACAACUGCUAGAUUAAAUUCCGGCUUUCUGCACCAACAAAAUAAUAACGGCAUAUGUUGUUAUCGCGGUUGGGAAAGUCACAGGCCCCCCCCUCCCUGGGGGCCAUGAAAUAUACAUGUUUUAUGUUUAUAAAAAAUAAAAAAAUAAAAUACAUAUUAAAAGGAA